Long non-coding RNA from Saccostrea echinata, 388 nucleotides. RefSeq lists it as uncharacterized. NCBI's taxonomy places the organism in Eukaryota, Metazoa, Mollusca, Bivalvia, Ostreida, Ostreidae. The record is from RefSeq and is a predicted model, not a curated record. The transcript is spliced from 3 exons.
UGCUGUUGUGUACCAGAAUGCAGUAAUCGAGGUGGACAUGUGUUUCCCUCUGAUCAAUCAAGAAGAAAAAUUUGGAUCCAUGCAAUUAAACGCGGCGAAGCCCGUUUUCAAAGUUGGGAACCUAAGACACAUGCUGUUGUAUGCAGGGCACACUUUAAAGCUGAUGACUACGUAACUGAAACUCAACACGACACUGACACAUGCAUGCCAAUAUUUGACUCCCGCUGACAUUCCCGAUUACACUUGUGAUCCAGUAAACAAGAAGCAUGUCUGGCAGCUCUAUAAAACUUCUGGAACUACACCCCUGAGUAAAAGACUUAAGAAAAGUGCGGUCCCUAGUAUUUUUUCCUGGGUUGAGCCAAGUCCCCAUUCACAAGCCAGAUCCGAU